AUUGGUAUGAGGUUAAUUCCAAGAGAGAUGAGCCUCAAGAUUCAGAUGAUGAGGGUUCCAGAAAGUAUAAUAAAUGCACAUUGGUUUGGGAGGGUACAGCCAAGGAACGUAGUUACGGGGAGGUUAAGUUUAAACAGUGUCCAACAGAAAGUAUGGCUAGGGAACAUUUUAAGAAGCAUGGCACUGAGCACUACUGGGACUUGGCUCUGAGUCAGAGUGUUCUGGAGACAACUGAUGACUGAGAAACAGACAGAGCUCAACAGAAAAAGAAUAACAGAAACUGGAGCCUUUGGCAUGUGCACCUUGCAUGCAUAUUUUUUCUUUUAAUUUUUUGAGAGAGGGAAGGAAGUGAAAUAGACUGACAGAGAGAAAUAUGUAAAUAUAGUUUGAAUGUGUAAGAGAAUGAUUGUUUUCGUACCUGCAGUACAACUGUGCAAGGCUUAAGAACAAAAGCUGGUGUAAUGAAUAGGAUGUUAACCCUUAUGUGUACUGCAGAACUUUACAAUGCUGGAAGCUUGAAUAAGAGUGGACUCUGGUUUUGUAUCUCUUGUAACAGUUUUAUAGUGUAGGCUGUGCGGUCUUUGAUCUUGUGAUUUCUACAUUUGAUCCUUUUUUUUUUUUUGGUGUCGCGCAACCUGUCCUCUCAACAUUUUGAUCCAGUCUUUUCAGUAAAUAAGCCUCACUUCAGAAACUAGUUAAUUGACACUGUGUUGUUUGUUACUGAAUGCACAAACAAUAGUAUUGGUUUCUGUAUGACACAAAACUGAUAAUUCUAGUAUGGUUAAAGAAUAGAGAAAUUCAUGAAAAAAUAGUUCACUGAGCUCAACUUUAGUCUAGGGUGCGUAGAUCAAUAAGCACAUCACUCUAGUAAGGGAUACGCACACGCUUAAUCUUCUUAAUCACUUUUGAUUUAUUUCAAUUUUGCAACCGCAAACAACAGUCAAAUGUUUCGGCAGCAAGCUGCCUUCAUUGAAUCAUUCACUGAAGAAGGCUCGCUGCUGAAAUGUUUGACUGUUGUUUGCUUUGUUGCAAAAUUAAAAUAAAUCUAAUUUAUUGCUCUGUUGCUCCCUUACUAGAAUGUAAAGAAUGGAGGUUAUUUUUUUUUUUUUUUUGAGUAAACUAUAAAUGUCCAACAGCAAGUGACAGAACAUAUAGUUGUUUAAAUGUAAGGCUCUUUUUUUCUUAAAAAUUUCAUGUCGUGGAUCAUAUGUGAAAAGUGCAACUAACCAGAUGCCAAUGAUUAAAGCUAGGGGAAAAUAAAUAUCUUGCUUGUUUGUUGA
Molecule: long non-coding RNA, 1280 nt
Organism: Cyprinus carpio (common carp)
Lineage: Eukaryota; Metazoa; Chordata; Actinopteri; Cypriniformes; Cyprinidae
Gene: prpf3
Exons: 3
Source: RefSeq, a predicted model, not a curated record